Molecule: long non-coding RNA, 687 nt
Filed under: Homo sapiens (human)
Lineage: Eukaryota; Metazoa; Chordata; Mammalia; Primates; Hominidae
Description: HSALNT0311883
Source: RNAcentral
CAGUGCCCUGAAUCUCAAGUCCAGAAAUCCACUAGAGGACCUGUUACGGUGGAGAGAAGAUCAGUCUCCAUUAAGGUUGGCGAUUGAUCAGGACUAUUUAUCAAGAAAAUCAAAGACAAAGACAGAUCCUAGGAGGUUCUCAUUUAACCAAAUGGAUAGAAAUCAGAUCACUGUUGAACAUCUAGUUGGAACUGACUUUGCCGCUCUACUCAAAUGGUGAAGGCUUCCUUCUUCCAACAGACUGUGUGGCAGCAUGAAUUAUGGGCAGGGAUCUGUGACUGCUCAACUUUUCUCUGGAGGCCCUGCUCAGGGGUUCAGCUGUCCUGUUCCUCAGUGUCACAUCUUCCACAAAGCCAUUCACCCUUUAAGGAUUCACUGAGCACUCAUCCUGUGUCAGGUGCUGAGCUGAGCACCUGGGAUUUGGAGGACAGGAAGACACAGUCCCACAAUCAGAAGAGAAGCCUUUCCCUAGCCUUCUCUCAGAGCACUCCCCCAGAAUCCCUUAGCCUAUGAUCUGCAUCUCCUGGGCACCUUUCCUUUCCACCUUCUUUUACCUUUGUCUUCUACUUCCAGUCCUCUUACCACCAGGCCAUCUGUCCCUUGAGGGCUGCCUCAGAAUCUCCCACAGCAUGUAACAGAAUGAGUGGCACACAGCAGAAGCUCAAUAAAUAUUUAUGGAAUGACUGG